Molecule: non-coding RNA, 181 nt
Filed under: Deltaproteobacteria bacterium
Lineage: Bacteria; Pseudomonadati; Myxococcota; Myxococcia
Description: 6S RNA
Rfam family: 6S / SsrS RNA
About the family: E. coli 6S RNA was the first non coding RNA to be sequenced, but its function was unknown until recently.
Source: RNAcentral
CCUCCCCUGCCUUGUUUGUGAUCGGCGGGUAUAUUUAGAACCAACAUUCUAAAAUGAGGGAGCCUUCCCUGACUGGCGGCCGGCAUGUCCCAUAGCCGGGAAAGUCGAAAGCAAGCCAUAAGGCACCCACCUGUUUCGACAGGUUCAAACAUACCGUAGACACGGCAUGCGCGGGGGGGGA